RNAcentral lists this ribosomal RNA (253 nucleotides) under uncultured bacterium. RNAcentral's name for it is "partial 16S ribosomal RNA". It matches the Rfam family "Bacterial small subunit ribosomal RNA", at positions 524 to 776 of the family's 1533-position model. The record is from RNAcentral.
UACGGAGGGUGCAAGCGUCAAUCGGAAUUACCGGGCGUAAAGGGUUCGUAGGUGGUUUGAUAAGUUAUCUGUAAAAGCCCUGGGCUCAACCUAGGAAGGUCAGAUAAAACUGUUGAACUCGAGUAUGGGAGAGGGUAGUGGAAUUUCCGGUGUAGCGGUGAAAUGCGUAGAGAUCGGAAGGAACACCAGUGGCGAAGGCGGCUACCUGGCCUAAUACUGACGCUGAGGAACGAAAGCGUGGGGAGCAAACAGG